Molecule: long non-coding RNA, 11343 nt
Filed under: Setaria italica (foxtail millet)
Lineage: Eukaryota; Viridiplantae; Streptophyta; Magnoliopsida; Poales; Poaceae
Description: long non-coding RNA (SITA_LNC005428)
Source: RNAcentral
GUACAGGCCCUGUUAAGUAAUUUUGCAUUAAGUUCCUGAAAAAAACGUCAGAUCAGAUCAGAUGUAAACGAAAAAGGAUGGCUCUCAGUAGGUAUUAUAUUUAAAGAAAUUUUGAGCUUGAUGCGGGAGGCUACUACAAAGCAAUCCGCUGCUAUGAUAAUAUGAUAUGCUGUGGAACUGCGGAAAAUGACAAAGUCCACCGAUAAAUUGCGACUAAACAAUCUUCAUAUACACUUGGGAUACUUUGGCUCACUGACGAUUUCAAGAAAGUUGAGAAUUCAUACAAAUUGGUCAAGUGCGUGAGGUUCCUCAGCUCUUCUGGUAUAGGACCUACCAGAUUCAAUGCGUACAUUUUCCUGCAGUAAUAACAGUGAAGCACCCAUCAGCUCACACCAUCUCAAUUUAGCCUUCAUGGAUGUUCGUCAUCAGACAAACACCACUAGGUUAUGGAGCGCCGUCAAAUAACCGCACAAGCAAUAGUUGCAGAGAUAAGGACGAUGCACUAGCUUGCCACACUCUGAGUGCACGAACUGCCACCUCAGGUGGGCAAAUUAGAUCAUCCAGCAACUAAUGGUGGGCGUACGGAUAGGAAGCGUGAGACACUUACAGCUUGGUGAUGUGGCAGACGGUGUUGUUCUGGCCGGAGCACUUGCACUGGAUGGCCGGGUUGAAGUUCAUGUCUGAGUCGAUGUUGGUGUCGUCCGUGGCGGCGCCGGUGCAGGGGUCGCCGCUGAUGUUCCAUGCCGAAGACGCCGUCUGGCCGAGCUUGUCGAACACCGCAUUCACCGCCGCCGCUGCAAAACCGAAAACGGGUUCAUACUUCACACACAUCCCAAAGAAGCAAUCACCGACUAACCUUUACCGACCACAGAGAAUAUAUAAAAUAACAGAUCACCCUCAGGCACUCAACGCGAACUCUAGGCAAAAGUGGUGAAUCUAGUAGUGUACAGUGAUAGCUAGUCUUAUAAUACAUUAAAAGCAUUAUAAGUACCCUAAAAGCUUGGUGACAUAGUAACUUUUUUUUUUCUUUUUUAAUAAAAAAUAUAUAUCUAGUAGGAGUCUUAGCCCCACCUGUUCCUUAAAAAAAAAUACCAAGACUCUAGCUGUCCUACCUCGGGGCUUUCUUAUUUUUUAAAAAAAUAAAGGCAACGGGUAAUAAUACGUUUGGUUCCACGGACUAAAGUUUAGUCCCUAUCACAUCAAAUGUUUAGAUACUAAUUAGGAGUUAAGCUAAUUAUAAAACUAAUUGCACAGAUGAAGGCUAAUUCGCGAGACGAAUGUAUUAAGCCUAUGUCAAAUCAUGGACUAAUUAGGCUUAAUAGAUUCGUCUCGCGAAUUAGCCUCCAUUUGUGCAAUUGGUUUUGUAAUUACUCCUAAUUAGUAUCUAAACAUUCAAUAUGACAGGAACUAAACUUUAGUUUGUGACAAUGAAUACGACAACUAGCAAGUAACUACCACGACAAGCAGCCAUAAGGUGGUUGAAGCUGCACAACAAGUCAACAACUAGCUCUCUAAAGAAGGUUGAUUUUUAGGGCAGUCCCAAACCAUAGUUUCUAUGGGUAGUUUCUAUGUUGACCUAUCACCAAGAUGCCACUUGUAGAUCUAAUCUCCCCAACCCAUAGUUUCUAUGGGUAGUUUCUAUGUAGAGCAAAAUUUCAUGAUUUCACGCAAGCACCACAAGCAAAGCUCGGUCAGCUGUCGCAAGCAACCGCGUAGCCUUCAUGCUGCCACAGUCCGAGCCAUUGAAACAAAAUAAUUCUUUCACAGCUGCUAUAAGAUCGAUCGACCUGGAAAGCGCCGCCAAGAGACGAUGCAGGCCAAAAUGCAGGAGCGAGAUGAGUGCUGGUUCGAUCAGUGCCUGGACAAAGUGCCAAAGUGGCGCUUGAAGCAACGGACGGAGAACUGGCGCCUGCAGAAGCAACUGCGGUAGCACCAACAACACGUCUGGAACUUGAAGAGGGCUUCCUCGAUUUCUUUUGAUGUACGCCUUUCUUCUCCAAUCGAUCCUUAGAAGCGGCGCGUGUGGAAUUGCUGGCGGAGGCUUGGUGCGCGGCCGCGCACGGGGGUGGCCAGCGGCGUGAGGCGGACACAGGCGCCGGAAAUUGGCACGCGCGAGCGAGGGAGGGGAUGGCCGCGGCGCGCGCGUGAGGGAGGGUCGCGACGCGGCAGUAGCAGGCGCGCACGGAGCCUGGGGUUGGGUCGCGGCGCACAGCGGAUCGGGAAGAUGGGCAAGAAAACGAGGAAGGAAACGAUAACGCUGGCACAACGCGAUUACGGCGGUAUCUACGCACUUUGGUGCGCGAGCCGACUCGGUUUCUCACAUGAGAAAAACGAUUUCUUGCCCUUUCUUCGUUAAAUCACCUGCCACAUCGUUAGAUCGCUGAUAUGGUACUGUAUUGAAUGAUAUAGAAAUUGGAGGGUUGGGAGUGCCCUUAAUAUUUUCUCGCUUGGAUCCCAAUUUCACCUCGUGGGCUUGCUCUGUUCGAUGUUUCCUCACGUGGGACUAGCGUUGAACCACAAGAGUUUCUGACUUAUUCGUGGGCAAAACAUGGAUGAGGUCAAAAGGCGAAAAACCAUAAUAUCAUACCAUUAAACGCGCCCCUGUUGCCCUUCUACCCGAAACAUUUGGAACGAGAUAGUUUCUUGGACGAAUCGGGCAGAUGAUUCUCUGGAACAGAUCAGGGAUUGUACAGAUCAGGGAGAUGAAAUUCCAACAGCAAAGGUGGCCAUGAUGCCGGUAAGAAUUCGACUCGAUCGAGCUGAUUUUUCAAGAACUUACUUGCAGGGGAUAUUAUCUUAAGAACGUGAGGACAUUGCUGACAGCUAGCAACCUCAAACUGAGAGGCGCCUCCCAGGAAAAGAAACAAAGCAAAAGGCAAGAACAAACUUAAUUACAAAUAUACAAUCGAGCUCAUCAGAUAGAACACCUCGAAAAUUAUCUUUUUAUCGCAGGAGCGCUGAAUAGGACUUACCUUCAGUUGGAUCUGUCCUUGUUGGUGGUGCUUGCUGAGCUUUGGCCGACGCAGCUAGGAGAAGCAGCGCGGAGAGCACGUAGCCACGGAGGGAAGAACUCCGUGUUAACCUCAUCUCCCUCUUCCUAACUGCUCUCGCUUAGCUUGGCCGUGGCCCUUCCGAGGAAAGCAAUCUUGUUCCGUGUCCAAAAAAUCUGCUGAUUUCAUCAUCAUAGAAGGAAAGCAAAGCAAAUAAAGCAGCAGUCAAAGGCACACGACUGAUUGGGGAUACGCGGUCGUUUGGCAACAUUAGUACUGAAGACGACUGCAUGACUGACUGACGUUCUCAAGCUUUGGAUUCAUCCACUCGAACCAUUCAAGACUGUCAUGGUCUAGAUAAUUAAGGCGAUUUCCCAGGAUGGGAUGUUUGCUAUGGACAGAAGCUGGAACAAUUCAACGAAGUAAUAAUAAAGGCCAACCACUUCCGAUACUGACACAUAUACAUCUCAGAGUUCUAACUUUCGCCGUGCGGCUGCUUUUGGUCUGAAGUGUCAACUACUAGUUCGCACAUGCAUAAUCAGUCCAGUUUACACCACGGGAAAUCAAUUUCAUGAAGAUGAAAAAACUACUAGGUACUUCUUCCGUUUCAAAAUGUUCGGUUUUUAAACUUUUUAGAUACAUAAAUUUUGCUAUGCACCUAAAUAAUUGAGGUAAAAAUGAUUGUUAAGUAGCAAUGGGUACUUCCACCACGUACUUUUUUAAAAAAAAUUACACUGUUGAUCCAAGUAAUGUAAUUAAAAAAUAAAUUAAAUUAGUACCGGUCCCACUGUUUUUGUACUUGGUCUCCACCUAUUUGGUACUUCUUGUUACUUUUCUCUAGAUACCUCUAGGUACUUUCUACCUUUCCACCGCACGAUUUUUCUGGAUGGACGGCUCUUAUUUUUUCCAAUUAUUGAAAAUAUUUUCAUCAACAAAACCAAAACGACCUACAUUUUGAAAUAAAGGGAGUAACUAAUAGUCUAAUACCUUAGCAUUGACAAGGGCUUGUUCAACGAGAGUGGAACGACAUAGACACAAUCUCCUUGCAUUUAUCGAAAAUUUAGCAUUUUUUCCCUUCUGUUCUGCUGAAGAAUUUGGCCUAAUCCUAUGAACCCAGGCAAGUGCCUACGGAGAGAAUUUGAUGCCAGGUCCGCCAUUGGAUCAAAGUAGGCACGGCAAUGGAAUAAUGGAUAAUAACCGUCAUAUGCAGUGAUAUAAGGCUUAUAAUCCACUAUGCAAAACUAACAAUCAGGGCACCAACUGUGAAGUGUGUAUCUACACACAACGUAUUCCGUGGAUAUGGCUGCUAGGGGGGCGAGCCUUGGGUGCGAAAGAGGGCCAUUUGGAUGGUGCACCUAACGAAUCUUACACACAUCCAAAUCUUCAAAGUGCAUCCACACCAAAUAAUAUAAUCCGUUGCUUGACAGAAGCUUAUUUGAAUCUGAUGAUCAUUGACCAUCAUCACCGGCCUUCCUCGAUGAGGGAGCUCAGGUACGACGAUGUCGAUGCCGACAUGCCGACCACCUCCCUCUUGCUCGAGCUCGCCUGCCACUCGGUGACGUAGCUGGGCUUCGUGACUGCCUCUGGCACUUCGAUGUCUUCUGUGAGCAUGGACACCACCUUUGACAUGGAUGGCCGCUGCCGAGGUGAGCUCUGGAUGCAGAGGAGGCCGACGCGGAUGGCACGGAGAACCUCGUCGCUGACGAAUUCCAUGAGACUCGGGUCCACGACGUCGAGAGGACGGCCUUCCUCGUACAAUUGCCAGACCUGAAAGCGUAGGGCUCAUGCAUGUAGGAGAACUUCACUGUUGUAGGAAUGCAACAAACUAUUUUUUUUCAUAUGAUUCCAAAUUCUAAGAUCCACAUAAUGCUGCCAUUUUAAAAUUUAACACGCUGUGUCAGCUGCUUAGAUGCUAACAAGGUCUUAUAAGUGACACCAUAUGCAUGACUAGCAAUUUCUACGAAAAAUGUAUUUGUCUCAAAUAAAUAGCAUUUUUAUGUUGAAUUUAGUAUAUGAACAACUUUUAAAUUUUUAUGUUGUUAAUCUAAAUAAUUCUUCAUGUAGUGCUGCGCAAAGCUAAAACUGCUGCACAUUUUAGAAGAGGGACACUGGAGCAUAGAUCUUUAGAUCAAUAACUUAUAUUCUGUGUCCGAGGGAGUAACAAAACUUUCCCUCUUCUAAACAAGUGCCUAUCAACAACUAGCAUUCUGUACAUAGCUUAUUUAUUUGACUGCAUCUCUUUUUAUAUAAUUCAAUGAUGUCAAAAUUAUGGUUAAGUUUUUGAAUAAAAAAUCUUAUGAACGCACAUGAGCUUUAAUUUUUAUGUUAUAUAAGUGCCUAUCAUAUAUAUAUAUAUUCCCAGUUACCACAUGAAAAACUGCAAUUUGACCUGGGUCUAAAUUUUGUAGUGACUUUACCCAUUCUAAAAGAUAGGCGCUGUCUUCGUCAAGCCUAUCAUCAUAGUUUGGCCUUCCAGCUAUUGUUUCCAAUAUGACCACGCCAAAAGCAAAUACAUCAACUUUCUCCGUUACAUGACCUCUCAUGGCGUACUCAGGUGCUAGAUAACCACUUGAAAGAAGAGCAGAAAAAUAAUGUUAUUAGCUCACAGAUUAAUCAAACUAAAGUAUAAACUUUCUGCAAUUGUAUAAAGGUGCACUCCAGUGUGCAAGAUAACCUCUCAUUCCCUACUUACUAUAAAUGGGGCAAGAUGCAAAUGCGCUUACAAUGUACCGGCAACUUUUGUGCUGACAUGCGUCUUCUUGUCAUCAUAAAGUUUAGCGAGUCCAAAAUCUGAGAUCUUAGGGUUGAAAUUGGUGUCAAGUAAGAUAUUACUGGCCUUUAUAUCCCUAUGCACAACACGGAUGCUAGACUCUUCGUGCAAAUAAGCUAGACCUCUUGUAAUGCCUAAGCAUAUCCCAAAGCGUGUAAGCCAGUCUAGGUUCUUUCUCCCACUUCCUGCAAAUGAAUGUUUAAGUUAUACGAUGAACUCCUGGAGGGCCGGAGUUAUAUACAGUUGCAUCAAAUUGAAUGAACCUGUACCAAACAAUGCUUUAUCAAGACUUCCAUUCUCUAAGUACUCGUAAACCAGCAGUGGAUUUUCGCCCUCAAGGCAGCAACCAUACAACUUCACGAGAUUCCGAUGUUGCACUUGGGAAAUAGUUUCUAUUUCAGCUAUGAAUUGCUUCUUCCCUUGACGAGAUGUUUCAGAUAGCUGCUUUACUGCUACCAUGCUUCCAUCGGUCAGUUUACCCUGCGAAAAUGUGGCAUUUUUUAAGAAUGUAAGUUUCAGACACCUCAUUAUCACGCAUAUAAUGGACAAAAUAAAGAGACUGCCAAGCUAGCCAUGUGGGGCAACUAUAAAAGGAACUAGUAGAGAGCAACAAAAGGGAAAACCAAUGGGGAAUGUGUGUGUAGAUUGAUAUUACUAAAAGAAUAGGUGAAGCAUUGCCCAGAAGUAGAGGUUUAUUAGUCAAUUUGCAUACAGAAAAAGAGCUCUGGUGUGCACUACUUAUGUACGUGGAAACUUAAUUUCAGAGGCAAAUUAAAAUUCCAUAGCAAAUUUGCAUCCAUGUCACCAUGUGUAGUACAGAUGAACUAACCUUAUAAACUGCCCCGUAUCCUCCUUCACCAAGAAGGUUAGUGGAAUUAAAAUUUUCACUAGCGGUCCUUAGUUCACCAUAACUGUAACUAAAUACAUUUGGUCUUCCAACACAACUGUACAGCUCUGCAAGAAUCACAAGAGUUAAGUUUAUGAGCACAACCUCUUUGUCUGGUUUAAGAAUACACUGUGAACCUGUCAUAUCAUGUACCUCGUUUGUCCAAUGACAAUUUUCUUCUUUUCUGCCUCAACACAUAGAGUCCAGAGAGCACUAAUAGUCCUAAAACUGCUGCACCAACCCCAACCCCAACAGCGACACCUGUAUUGCUAGUACGUUUCGUCUGGGCAGCAUGGGCAGCAUUACGCACUGUAGGUUCGAAAUCUGUCCAAAAGUCCACUUGUUAGAACAAAUGCAAUCUUGGAUUUGGAUCCUAUGUUAAGUGUUUAUGAAUUUUCACUUUUUAAAAGUACUUGAGAAUUCAGCACCGGUUCAGAGUGGAUCUGUAAUUCUGUAUCACUAUUAUACAUGUCAGAGUGUUGGUUCAGUCAUCAGCAUUCUCCUAAUGGGAACUAAGUUGACCCCGCGAAAAUUAUCUAAACAGUAUAGAAACGUUGGUUUAUAGACAACGGGAGUACUUGGAGUUGCACUCAAAGCAGAGAGCGAAGGCCCAUAGUAGCCUUGACUAGGGAUGCAACAAGUGCCCUUGCCGGCCCAGAAAAGAUGAAUCUCAAGGAAGUUUCUGGUGACAGGAACAGUAUACUUCCUCGUGACAGCAGUGUAAGAUUUUCCGGCUGCUGCCUUUCUUAUGUCAAAGUUCUGCUCUUUACGCUCACCCUGUACCAAAAGCAAGAAAAAAAACAUUAGAAAAUCUCAAUCAGCCCAUAAGCUAAAAUCUCAAGUAAGUGUAAGUUAUCAGCAUGACUGGAACCUACCUGAAUAUAGAUAUCGAAAACCCUUUUACCUAAACUCUUCCAAGUCUGCAUGUCUUCGAAGUCAAACUCUGCAAAUUGAAGUGUGACUGUAUAAUUUCCAUUCUCAAGUCCAAUGCCAUAGUAGCGUAAUGAUGAUGGAGACAUCCUUGCUGUCUGGAACAGUUCUGAAUCUAGAGUUUUCAGAAACUGGCGUGAGCUGUUGAUUAUGUAACUAUUAUUUGGUGCCUCCAUGAACCUCCCAACAUUGCUAACACCCCACGUUGGUGCUCCUGUAACAUAAUAGGAAGCAGGUCCCAGAUCGGCGUUGUCAGGCUGAUACAUGGAAUUAUCUGAGACUGACAUAGAUCUCUGGCUCCCACAGUCCACAGCAAAGGAGGAAGCUGCAAGCAUGUUAAAUUAUUUAAUACUGAUGUUAUUUAGCAUAUCCUUAAAGUGCAAAAGUGGAAGCUCACAUUGUGGAGAGCCAAGAAAGCAGGGUGUGUCUCGCUGAAGGCACCCUAGCCCCGAAGGUAAGGCACUGAAGAUGUCAAACAUUGUCAAUUUGAAUCCAAAAUAUGAGCUGAGGCCUGAGAGAACAUAAAAAUUGUGCUUGAAGACUUUAAUGACCUAUUUGAAUACAAACUGACCUGUUAUUGGAGUCGUCGAUUACGAAAUUGUUCGCCACCAAAUUCCUAUGUAGAAUGAAACAUGUAAAAAAGAGUUAGAAGGCACUAUUGCAGAGAAUCAAGAGAAACCAAAGCAGGGACAAAAUUGAUUCAGUUUUUUAAGAUAAGCGAUAAGGUAAAGUACACAUCUGCUUGUUCAAAGAUUCUGAAUCAUAGAUGACGUCAAAUGCAAAAAGAAAAGAAAAAAAGAAAAAAUAAAUAUGGUCUAGGUGCAGCAAAAGCAGCCUUUUAGAUGUAGUUGAUAUUAAAAAAUGCUAGUUUAAUACAUGUGUAUGAUAUUGGAUUAUCUUUAAAAUAAUAGUAAUAGGGCUGAAUUUUCGGUCAGUCAAUCAAGCUUGCAAAACUCAGCACUUACAAUGUCAAAUUCGGACUAACCCAGGAGGGAAAGUUUCCUGAUAGCUGGUUGUAGGAAAAGUCUCUACACAAAACAAAGCGUGUAAAUGUUAUAGAUAAACGCCUUCCUGGUUUUACUUCACAAAUGAAAGUGGACAAACAUACAAGUUUUUAAGAGAAGUUCCUAUAGAACUUGGAAGGCUUCAUGAAAGACUAUUAUUCCCGAGAAACCUGGGCAGACCAAAUUUGCGCAUUAGCAAGAUUGAUGAUCAUUGUCAUCAGAACCUAGAAAUAAGUAUCAGAAGGCAAGAUAAACCAUACAAGAAGCUGAGUGAAUUCAGAUUCAGCAGAGCUUGCGGUACUAGGCCAGUAAUAUUGUUAAAACUCAAAUCCCUGUAACAGUAGAACAAAUGAGACUAGGAGAGAAAGGGGUCAUCAAACAAUGCAUAAUCCACAGCAGUUCAUUAAAGCAUCUAGCAAAACAUGCAGUUGACUGGAGUUUACGAAGAAACAAAAUGUCUUACAGUAGGGUUAAUGUUGCAAACUGUGAAAAGUUUACUGAUGCCAGGUUAUCAGAUAUCCUGCAGUUCCUCAAAACUCUGCAAUGAAACAUGUCAAGAGUUUUCGGAUUUAACAAUUUGGUUGCACUACAGCAAAUAUUAAGAUGUAGUUUUGAGUCAUCAAGUGAAUGACAAGUUAUGCAUACAAGAUGUUCAAAGAUGUCAUGUUACUGAUGAAUGCCAGUGAAGAACUCCCAUUUACUAUGUCACCUAUUCGUCUGAACCACAGAAGUAGAUAAUUAAUUCUUCUGUUCUGCAACCUUAAUACUUGACAAUGAUACUUAUCUACUCCCGCCAUCAGUAGUCACUUACAAGCUUGUCAGUUGGACAAGAUUAGAAAGAGUGGUUGGAAGUGGACCUUGAAAUGAAUUGCCUUGAAACCGUCUGCAAAAUUAUAGUUGUUGUUACUAGUGAAGAAAGAAGGAAGAUCCUGCUAGUACAAGGGUCACUUUCUUGGUAAAAAAAGUAAAUAGGUUUAUGCAGAUAGAAAUAUGAUCUGUUCCAUAAAAAAGAUAAUUAUUAGAAAAAUCAAUUCAAUAUUUUUAACACUAGUAUUUUUUAAUGGAACAGGAGGGGUUAGGACCCCUACUGGUUAUAUAUUCAGGAAAAAGGAGUCUUUUACAGAGCAAAAAGGAGAAAAAGGAAAAUCACAACAGAUUGUCAAGCCAUUCUGUGAUUCUAGGGAAAGACUUCUUUUUUCUCGAUGGAUAACCAUAGCAAAUUCAUACUUGAAAAUGUUUCUGCAACUCUCAACUGAAACUUGCUGUUGUUUGGAGAUUGCAUUGUUCCUUGUUGUCCAGAAUAUGUGGAACAGAACCGCAUUAUCAUGAAUAGUGAAAAAAUGUAAUAUUUACUAAAAUGAUGAAACCACCUCACAUCUGACCUUAUGUGGAUUAUUUUAAUAGGCCACUGAAUGGAGAUUUAGCAGAGUAAAAACUAUACUUAGCUAAUACCAUCUCAUUUAUGAGCACAAUGAGCCAGGGUUCAAAAUGAAUUUCAUACUUGAGAACUGUUGCAAACUGUACACAAUGUCUUUAAAGAAAUUAUCAACACCAUCUGAAAAGUAUAAGUUGUAAAUCUUACAGAUCUAAUAAAUUACUGAGGCUCCCAAUGUAAUCUGGUAUUUGCCCAGUAAAAUCAUUAUCUGAUGCCCACCUAAUCACAAAUAAGAAUAACGCAUAAGGUUAAAUGAAUAAUACUGUUGACAAAACAUCUUUUAUAGGCAUACAAUAUUUUCAUGCUUGUAAGCUUAGAAAAUGAUGGUGGUAGUGGACCACUUAAGCCAGAGCUGUCAAUAUAUCUGCAAGACAGAAAUAAACGAAUAAGAAUGUUAACAUGGUUUGGUAGAAGAAAAGGUAAGGACUACAGGGUGCCCAAAAUUAAUCAAAAUACGCACAGUUGCUCAAGUUUAACCAUGUUACCCAGUUCGGGAGGAAGGGAUCCAUUUAAGUUGUUCAUGCUUAUGCCCCUGAAAUCCCAAAAAAAAUGUCAGGUUAGUAGCAAAAGAUUUGUGACAGGAAACUUUCUUACCUUUCGAAGGAUGAAUACUUUUCCCGACAGAGGUCAACUAGUAGAAGGAAUGAAGGUGUGUUUUUUCUAUAAGCUUGAUGUCGAUAGCAUGUAUUCUCAACUUAAACUGUUCUUUAUUUGUUGAUUCUUACACAUUUAAAUAAAUUUAUAGGUACGUGUACAAAGCCAGGUCGAGAUUUAUAAAACUUUGUAGUUUGGACAUUAGCAAAGAUUUCUACUGAAAUAGGGCCAUGAAACAGAGAAGGUAAAUUACUUACAGGGAUACGAGAUUCACAAGCUUCCCAAGCUCCUUUGGAACAGAUCCAGAUAAUGCAUUAAUUGCAAGAUUCCUUGUAUGUUCAAGGGAGAUAGUUUAAGUUUCAAUGUUACCCAAAACAUGCGAUGUAGUAAUGUUAGGUUCUAAAUCUCACAAGUAUUGCAAAGCAGUCAGUUCCCCAAGGAACGAUGGUAUAGGCCCUGUUAAGUAAUUCCGCAUUAAGUUCCUAAAAAAACGUCAGAUCAGAUCAGAUGUAAACGAAAAAGGAUGGCUCUCAGUAGGUAUUAUAUUUAAAGAAAUUUUGAGCUUGAUGUGGGAGGCUACUACAAAGCAAUCCGCUGCUAUGAUAAUAUGAUAUGCCGUGGAACUGCGGGAAAUGACAAAGUCCACCAAUAAGUUGCGACUAAACAAUCUUAAUAUACACUUGGGAUACUUUGGCUCACUGACGAUUUCAAGAACGUUGAGAAUUCAUACAAAU